This 245-nucleotide ribosomal RNA is filed under the name uncultured Methylobacillus sp. RNAcentral's name for it is "partial 16S ribosomal RNA". It matches the Rfam family "Bacterial small subunit ribosomal RNA", at positions 524 to 768 of the family's 1533-position model. The record is from RNAcentral. Lineage: Bacteria; Pseudomonadati; Pseudomonadota; Betaproteobacteria; Nitrosomonadales; Methylophilaceae.
UACGUAGGGUGCAAGCGUUAAUCGGAAUUACUGGGCGUAAAGCGAGCGCAGGCGGUUUUGUAAGUCAGAUGUGAAAGCCCCGGGCUCAACCUGGGAACUGCGUUUGAAACUACAAGGCUAGAGUAUGGGAGAGGGGGGUAGAAUUCCACGUGUAGCAGUGAAAUGCGUAGAGAUGUGGAGGAAUACCAAUGGCGAAGGCAGCCCCCUGGCCUAAUACUGACGCUCAGGCUCGAAAGCGUGGGGAG